Molecule: long non-coding RNA, 486 nt
Organism: Eptesicus fuscus (big brown bat)
Lineage: Eukaryota; Metazoa; Chordata; Mammalia; Chiroptera; Vespertilionidae
Exons: 2
Source: RefSeq, a predicted model, not a curated record
UCACCUCCCUCUAUAAUCCUGGAAAAACUACUAUCUACUGUCCCCAUGUGUAAAGGGGAAUUAUACUCACCAAGUUCCUGAAUUUGUCUCAUUUCCUCUAUAGAAUACUACCAAAAAGGUAUGACAUAGGAGAAAGCACAUGCCCUGCUCCAGAAAAGGGAUAUCUGAGUCACUGCAGGCAGAUGGCUAGCUCCCUUCGAUGUUUUGGGAAGAAAGGUAUCAUUUAGCUGAAGCAACUUAGUAUAACUAAAACAACACAUCCAUCAGCACCCUCUCAGGAACAGAAGCCUAUCCUUGGGUGUUAAAGAGCCCAGUAAGCAGAGGAGCUGCAGACAUGGUGCCCAAGAGGAAUCGGAGGUCAGCCAGCAGCAGCUGCCAAUUAUCCAAAAAUGGACUGCUUCUGGAGCAUUAUUUCAAACAUGAAUGUUUAGGCCCUUUGUUUUCCUAAACUCUCCAAAGAAAUGAAAUAAAUAGAAUGCAAAAGAA